AUCCAGCUGACGAGUCCCAAAUUGGGUGAAACACGUAUCCUUGAU
This 45-nucleotide non-coding RNA is filed under the name Schistosoma curassoni. Lineage: Eukaryota; Metazoa; Platyhelminthes; Trematoda; Strigeidida; Schistosomatidae. The record is from RNAcentral.